CCCUGGUUAGCUCAGUUGGUAGAGCGCUCCACUUGUAAUGGAGAGGUCCCGGGUUCGAUACCCGGAGCAGGCA
This 73-nucleotide transfer RNA is filed under the name Ixodes scapularis (black-legged tick). It matches the Rfam family "tRNA". Rfam says of the family: Transfer RNA (tRNA) molecules are approximately 80 nucleotides in length. Their secondary structure includes four short double-helical elements and three loops (D, anti-codon, and T loops). The record is from Rfam by way of RNAcentral. Lineage: Eukaryota; Metazoa; Arthropoda; Arachnida; Ixodida; Ixodidae.